This 399-nucleotide ribosomal RNA is filed under the name uncultured bacterium. Its description in RNAcentral is "bacterial SSU rRNA". It matches the Rfam family "Bacterial small subunit ribosomal RNA", at positions 355 to 746 of the family's 1533-position model. The record is from RNAcentral.
UCGAGAAUUUUUCUCAAUGGGGGAAACCCUGAAGGAGCGACGCCGCGUGGAGGAUGAAGGUUUUCGGAUUGUAAACUCCUGUCAUUCGGGAACAAUUGCACGGAUUUAACUGAUCUGUGUUUGAUAGUACCGGAAGAGGAAGAGACGGCUAACUCUGUGCCAGCAGCCGCGGUAAUACAGAGGUCUCAAGCGUUGUUCGGAUUCAUUGGGCGUAAAGGGUGCGUAGGUGGUAAGGUAAGUUGGAUGUGAAAUCCCGGGGCUUAACCCCGGGAACUGCAUUCAAUACUGCUCUACUAGAGUACUGGAGAGGAGAUUGGAAUUCACGGUGUAGCAGUGAAAUGCGUAGAUAUCGUGAGGAAGACCAGUGGCGAAGGCGAAUCUCUGGACAGUUACUGACAC